CUUAUCUUCACCACAGAGCAAAACCUUCACAGGACCAAUAGCUGGAGGCCUGAGAGCUGGACAGGCUUUGUUCUUCCAGGGUGUCGUUCCAACAGAUGCCAAAAACUUCGCGAUAAAUCUGAUGUUAGAGAACAGGGAAG
RNAcentral lists this long non-coding RNA (140 nucleotides) under Astyanax mexicanus (Mexican tetra). RNAcentral describes it as "lncRNA (ENSAMXG00005012251.1)". The record is from RNAcentral. Lineage: Eukaryota; Metazoa; Chordata; Actinopteri; Characiformes; Acestrorhamphidae.